GGCGAACGCUGGCGGCGUGCUUAACACAUGCAAGUCGAACGGGAUCCGGGUUUUCGGGUUCGGUGAGAGGGGCGAACGGGCGAGUAACACGGGAGUACCCCGCCCCCUUCUUUGGGAUAACGGCGGGAAAUCGGCGCCAUUCCCUGAUAUUCUUGCUGCAUCGCAUGGUGUGGCUUGGAAAGGUCUUCUGGUGGGGGAUUGGCUCGCGGCCUAUCAGCUUGGUGGGAGGGUGAUGGCCUACCAAGGCUAUGAGGGGUAGCCGGCCUGUGAGGGUGUCCGGUGGCACUGAGACAGGGUCACGGCCCAGACGCGUGCGAGAAGCAGCAGUGAGGGAUAAUGGAGCGUAAGCGUGAGCCUGACGCAGCGAGGCCGCGUGGAGGGUCACCGGGUUCGGGUUGUAUACCUCUUUGAGUGUGGAGCAGGGAUCCUACUUUUCGCGGGUUUGACGGUACGUACAGAAGAAGCGCCGGCUAACUACGUG
RNAcentral lists this ribosomal RNA (481 nucleotides) under uncultured bacterium. RNAcentral describes it as "partial 16S ribosomal RNA". It matches the Rfam family "Bacterial small subunit ribosomal RNA", at positions 28 to 507 of the family's 1533-position model. The record is from RNAcentral.